UCCGUAUUGGUCGCGGUUGACCUUCCCCCCACCUCUAACCCAGAAGACGAAUGAUAGAUCUGCCCGAAAGCCAAUCAGAAGUCCUCAGGGGAGGCCGGCCUGUGCCCUAUAAAAUGCAUACGCUGCCCGUGCGCGCAGUUUCUCCCAGGCGAGGCAGGGGUGUGCUCGCGCUCGGGGGCUCCCCUCGACGCCCCUGCCUGACUGGGUCUCACUAUGUGGCCCAGGCCGGCUGGGAACUCUGGGUGAUCCUCCUGCCUCAGCUUCCCCAGCACUGGGACUAGAGCCGAGUGCCACGACUCCAGGGCCAGCCCCCUCCACCACCAGCCACUUCACUUCUCCUUCCCUGUCUGCCUCUUACAGCUGGCCUCAAGUUCAAGGCGAUCCUCCUGCCUCAGCCUCCUGAAUGCUGGGAUCACAGGCGUGCACCACCAGGCCCAGCCACCUCAGCCCUCUAAAGAUGGCUCCUUUGGCCUUAAGGGUUUCCCAGGAGCCUCUGCGUCUCCCCUUCUCUCCUCUGGCCUUCCGUUUGUGCUCCUGUUCCCUCCGCCUCCAGGGAAGACUUUCCAAGCCAUCCCUGCCCUUUCCUCGAAGGCUUGAAAAGGAUCAGAGGGACGGAGACCCAGGCUGAAGGCGUCGCGGUUGUUUGCCUCUCAGAGCCUCAGUGACCCAGGCUGCCCCAGGGGUCUGCGCUGUGAGAAGUAGACAGAGCUGUGACUGUCCACAGGGCACUGUCUGCCCUGCCCACCAGGCCGCUCCUGACUAUGCCCUGCUCCUCUCCUGUGCCCGCUGCCCUGCCUGGGCGAUGGCCGCCACCAACUGCCACAGAACCUUCCAGCAAGGAUGUUCCGCAGCGUUCUCCCUACUGACCUGGAUGGGCAAGGGAGGACCUGGCUGGGGAGGAGCCUUUUAGGGUGGAAGCCCCAGGUCUCCCCUCGCUUUGUGUGUCAACACCAGGGGGCGCCCACGGCAUUCCCAGAGCCACAGCCCAGUGUCUAACUGGACAGGGAGACAGUGUGGCUGCAGGGACCAGGCCCGGCUGUGCUGCGUCCCUGUCCUCCCUCUGCCAACCCACAUGCAGCUCCACAAGCCCGUCCGCUCGGCUCCUGCGAGUCCAGACUUUCCGCAGUGGCCAGGCGUGGUGGCGCACACCUGUAAUCCCAGCACUCAGGAGGCUGAGGCAGGAGGAUCGCUGUUGGUUUGAGGCCAGCCUGGGCUACUGGAAUCAUCCCCAGGGACAAAGGCAGGCGCAGUCCCAUGUCCAUGGCUGUCUGUCACUUCAGGCCCCCUGAACCCCUUUCUCAAAGCCACACCUCGGUCAGACCCCAGCCCCCUGAGGGUGGUCUAGGCUCCCUCCCCAGGGUGGAAGCUGUGGAUUCCCAGAGGCCACUGGCUGGGAUGCGGCCCUGGAGCAGGGCCCAGCUGGCAGAGACUCGGGAAGUGGGCACCGGGGGUAAUAACAAUAACAAUCGUCCUGUUCCUAAUGACACAGGGCCACAGAGGGCUGUGAAAUGCCCUCUAAUGAUGCCUUGUAUUUAUAGAUCCCCCUCUUCAGAGCCAUCACUCAAUUACCGCUCUCAGCUUCCCUGCGAGGGACAAUUAACCCCGUAUUUUAUGGCCACGGGAAACCGAGGCACUGAGACAGGGAGGGAGGUAUGGCUGAGGUCACACAGUGCAUCAGCGACAGCAGAACGUGUAGGGUGGCACCGUCUCCCUCCAGUCCCCCAGCUCCGGGUGCUCAUGGUGCCCCCAACUCUGCCUGGCCAGCACCUCAGCCAGGACCCUACUGUGGCUCAAGGAUGUACCUUUUUUUGAGACAGGGUGUAGCUGUGUACUCCAAAUUGGCCUUGAUCUCAAAGCAAUCCUCUUUCCUCAGCCUCCUGAAUGCUGGGAUGACAGGCACGCGCCACCACACCCAGCUAGGCUCUGCCCUUCUAAUGCCAGCCACCUGUACCCCUGAAAAGCCCCACUAACCUCUCCCAUGCCACAGUAUUCAAGAUGGCAAGGGUAACUCCUAGCCAGAACAGUCACGUGCAGCUAGGCGUGGUGGCACACCUAUAGUCCCAGCACUUAAGAGGCUGAGGCAGGAGGAUCACCGCAAGGUCAAGGUCC
Chinchilla lanigera (long-tailed chinchilla) is the source of this 2109-nucleotide long non-coding RNA. RefSeq lists it as uncharacterized. NCBI's taxonomy places the organism in Eukaryota, Metazoa, Chordata, Mammalia, Rodentia, Chinchillidae. The transcript has 3 exons. The record is from RefSeq and is a predicted model, not a curated record.